Molecule: ribosomal RNA, 1296 nt
Filed under: Elateridae sp. 2 ACP-2013
Lineage: Eukaryota; Metazoa; Arthropoda; Insecta; Coleoptera; Elateridae
Description: 16S ribosomal RNA
Rfam family: Archaeal large subunit ribosomal RNA (bases 1055-1213)
Source: RNAcentral
UUAAUUAUGUUAUUAUUAUUUCUUGUUUAAUAAAAUUAUUUUUUGUUUUAUUAAUUUCUUAUGAAUAAAUAUUUAUUUAUUAUAGUUUAAUAGUAGGGUAGCUGAAAUUUUGAGAUAUUUUUUAUUUUUUGAAAAGAAGAGUUUAUUUUUUGUACCUUGUGUAUCAGGGUUGAUUUAUUAUAAGUUAUUUAUUUAAUUUUCUCGAAUUAGGAAGAGCUAAUUAGUUAUUUAUUUGAUUGUUUUAUAAAUCUUUAUAAUAAUUUUUUGGAAAUGAAAUGUUAAUCGUUUUCUAUAUAUCUAGUUUUUUAAGAAAAGAAUUUAAUUCUAUCAUUUUUUGGCAUAAGUUUUAUUUUAAGCUUUAUGUUUUUAUUUAAUGAUAAAUAUUUAAUGGGAUGAGCUUUUAAAUAUAAUUUUAUAAAAUUUUUUGUUGUUGUUUGUUUAGUAUAAUUAGAAUUGUUAAUCUUUAAUAUAAUUUUAUAGUUGUGUUAGGUUUAUUAAUACUUAUUUAUAUAUUUUUUAAGUUUUUUAUUAAAAUUUAAUGUGGAAUUUUUUACUUUAGUAAUAAUGAUUAAAUUAGUAAAUUUUUAUGUAAUAUUUGUAGGUUGUAAUUGAAAGGUCUAGGAAAGGAAUUCGGCAAGAAUUAGGUUUUUCGCCUGUUUAUUAAAAACAUGUCUUUUUGAUAAUAAUUUAAGGUUUAAUCUGCUCAAUGAAGUUUUAAAUUGCCGCGGUAUUAUGACCGUGCAAAGGUAGCAUAAUAAUUAGUUUCUUUAUUGGAAGCUGGAAUGAAUGAUUGGACGAGAAAACUACUGUCUCUUUUGGAUUUGUUUUUGAAUUUAACUUUUGAGUUAAAAGGCUUAAAUUUAUAUUAAAGACGAGAAGACCCUAUAGAGUUUUAUAUAAUUAAUUUUUAAGACUUUUAGAAUAUUUAUGUUUUAAAUUUUUAAUUUUAUUUGGUUGGGGUGACUAAAAGAUUAAUUAAACUCUUUUAAGUUUAAAUCAUUUAUUUAUGAUUUAUAAAUCUGAUUUUUUCAAGUUUAAUAUAAAUUACCUUAGGGAUAACAGCGUAAUUUUCUUUUAUAGUUCUUAUUGAAAAGGAAGUUUGCGACCUCGAUGUUGGAUUAAAAUGAAUUAUUGGUGCAGAAGCUUAAUAAUUAAGUCUGUUCGACUUUUAAAAUUUUACAUGAUCUGAGUUUAAACCGGUGUGAGCCAGGUUGGUUUCUAUCUUUAUUAUUUUAUGAUAUUUUAGUACGAAAGGACCAAGUAUUUAAUAUAAUUAUUUUUGUUUUGAAUUCUAUU